GAAUAUUGGACAAGGGGGGGAACCCUGACCCAGCCAUGCCCGGGGUUGGAAAAAGGCCUUUUGGUGGAGAAGACCUUUAAGCGAGGAGGAGGUACCGCGAGUAAAAACCUUGAGAUAGUGGAGGUUACCCGAGGAAAAAGACCCGCCUAACGCGUGGCCAGCGCCCGCGGUAAUACAGAGGGUGCAAGCGUUAAUCGGAUUUACUGGGCGUAAAGCGCGCGUAGGUGGCCAAUUAAGUCAAAUGUGAAAUCCCCGAGCUUAACUUGGGAAUUGCAUUCGAUACUGGUUGGCUAGAGUAUGGGAGAGGAUGGUAGAAUUCCAGGUGUAGCGGUGAAAUGCGUAGAGAUCUGGAGGAAUACCGAUGGCGAAGGCAGCCAUCUGGCCUAAUACUGACACUGAGGUGCGAAAGCAUGGGGAGCAAAC
This 423-nucleotide ribosomal RNA is filed under the name uncultured bacterium. RNAcentral describes it as "partial 16S ribosomal RNA". It matches the Rfam family "Bacterial small subunit ribosomal RNA", at positions 359 to 773 of the family's 1533-position model. The record is from RNAcentral.